AGGUAGCCAAAUGCCUCGUCAUCUAAUUAGUGACGCGCAUGAAUGGGGGCUUGGCGGAAUGAGAGGUGUAGAAUAAGUGGGAGGCCCCUGGCGCCCCCCCGUACCCGCAAAGGGGCGGGGCGGGGUCCACCGGCCUUGCUGAAAUAAAAGAGGAUACAAACAAAUGGAAGAACAUUCCAUGCUCAUGAGUAGGAAGAAUCAAUAUCGUGAA
Molecule: long non-coding RNA, 211 nt
Filed under: Homo sapiens (human)
Lineage: Eukaryota; Metazoa; Chordata; Mammalia; Primates; Hominidae
Description: HSALNT0347620
Source: RNAcentral